Arabidopsis thaliana (thale cress) is the source of this 597-nucleotide long non-coding RNA. RefSeq annotates it as other RNA. The record is from RefSeq. NCBI's taxonomy places the organism in Eukaryota, Viridiplantae, Streptophyta, Magnoliopsida, Brassicales, Brassicaceae. The transcript has a single exon.
UGACAUACAACCCCACAAGUUUUUUAGGCCUGUUAUUAAAAAAAAAACGUAAAUUUGAACUAUUAUCUUUUGAAAUUAAAAUCUAUUGUUUUUACUAAUAGGACAAGAAAAUACUUUUAAAAUGCACGCCGAUUAUAUUGGCUAUAUAAUCUAUGGCCGCACGCAGAUGCUUCAUCAAUUUUUGUCCAGGGCGGCUAUGAUGACAUACCAUAACGUUUGCUACUAACUAAUCUCCUUCAUCCUCUAAAACAUCCUCCCACUGGAGCUAUCACUAAUUUGUCGACUAAACCUAGUUUCACAUUCGUCAUCCACUCUCCAUAAUUCCUUUUAGUGAAGAAGAUUCACCUGAUCAUGUUUUGAAAGUAGUCAUUCACGUCAAUCAAAUUAAGUUUCAUGAGAUUUAACUGAAAUAUGGGUUAGAUACAAUUUUCAUGACGUCAAUUUUCAUAAAUACAGUUUCGAUAACCCUCGAUAAUUUGGGCCUCCAUAAAUAUGGGCCGAUAUUUCUAAUUUUUCGCCUCUCUCAUAGACGCGAACAGUUUUAGAAAGGAACCGAGAUAUUUUUCUCAGUAGAGAGCUUGAACACACGAAGAAACC